AAAAUCCGUCGAAUUUCAAAUUCGUGAGGGUUCAAGUCCCUCUAUCCCCA
This 50-nucleotide transfer RNA is filed under the name Calochilus campestris. RNAcentral describes it as "transfer RNA-Leu". The record is from RNAcentral. Lineage: Eukaryota; Viridiplantae; Streptophyta; Magnoliopsida; Asparagales; Orchidaceae.